RNAcentral lists this ribosomal RNA (506 nucleotides) under uncultured bacterium. RNAcentral describes it as "partial 16S ribosomal RNA". It matches the Rfam family "Bacterial small subunit ribosomal RNA", at positions 29 to 523 of the family's 1533-position model. The record is from RNAcentral.
AGUAAACGCUGGCGGUAGGCCUAACACGUGCAAGUCGAACGGCAGCACAGGAGAGCUUGCUCUCUGGGUGGCGAGUGGCGGACGGGUGAGGAAUACAUCGGAAUCUACUCUGUCGUGGGGGAUAACGUAGGGAAACUUACGCUAAUACCGCAUACGACCUACGGGUGAAAGCAGGGGAUCUUCGGACCUUGCGCGAUUGAAUGAGCCGAUGUCGGAUUAGCUAGUUGGCGGGGUAAAGGCCCACCAAGGCGACGAUCCGUAGCUGGUCUGAGAGGAUGAUCAGCCACACUGGAACUGAGACACGGUCCAGACUCCUACGGGAGGCAGCAGUGGGGAAUAUUGGACAAUGGGCGCAAGCCUGAUCCAGCCAUACCGCGUGGGUGAAGAAGGCCUCCGGGUUGUAAAGCCCUUUUGUUGGGAAAGAAAUCCAGCUGGCUAAUACCCGGUUGGGAUGACGGUACCCAAAGAAUAAGCACCGGCUAACUUCGUGCCAGCCGCCGCAGUAA